This 462-nucleotide ribosomal RNA is filed under the name uncultured bacterium. Its description in RNAcentral is "partial 16S ribosomal RNA". It matches the Rfam family "Bacterial small subunit ribosomal RNA", at positions 28 to 506 of the family's 1533-position model. The record is from RNAcentral.
GACGAACGCUGGCGGCGUGCUUAACACAUGCAAGUCGAACGGUGAACCUCUUCGGAGGGGAUCAGUGGCGAACGGGUGAGUAACACGUGGGCAACCUGCCCCCGGCUCUGGGAUAACUCCAAGAAAUCGGGGCUAAUACCGGAUGUUCACCGCUUCCCGCCUGGGUGGUGGUGCAAAGGGUUUCCGGCUGGGGCUGGGCCCGCGGCCUAUCAGCCUGUUGGUGGGGUAGUGGCCUACCAAGGCGACGACGGGUAGCCGGCCUGGGAGGGUGACCGGCCACACGGGGACUGGGACGGGGCCCAGAGGCCAACGGGGGGCAGCGGUGGGGAAUAGUGCGCAAUGGGCGGAAGCCGGACGCAGGGACGCCGGGUGGGGGAGGACGGCCUUCGGGUGGGAAACAUCUUUCAGCAGGGACGAAGCGCAAGUGACGGAACCGGCAGAAGAAGCACCGGCCAACUACGG